AGUCGAGCGGACAGAUGGGAGCUUGCUCCCUGAUGUUAGCGGCGGACGGGUGAGUAACACGUGGGUAACCUGCCUGUAAGACUGGGAUAACUCCGGGAAACCGGGGCUAAUACCGGAUGCUUGUUUGAACCGCAUGGUUCAAACAUAAAAGGUGGCUUCGGCUACCACUUACAGAUGGACCCGCGGCGCAUUAGCUAGUUGGUGAGGUAAUGGCUCACCAAGGCAACGAUGCGUAGCCGACCUGAGAGGGUGAUCGGCCACACUGGGACUGAGACACGGCCCAGACUCCUACGGGAGGCAGCAGUAGGGAAUCUUCCGCAAUGGACGAAAGUCUGACGGAGCAACGCCGCGUGAGUGAUGAAGGUUUUCGGAUCGUAAAGCUCUGUUGUUAGGGAAGAACAAGUACCGUUCGAAUAGGGCGGUACCUUGACGGUACCUAACCAGAAAGCCACGGCUAACUACGUGCCAGCAGCCGCGGUAAUACGUAGGUGGCAAGCGUUGUCCGGAAUUAUUGGGCGUAAAGGGCUCGCAGGCGGUUCCUUAAGUCUGAUGUGAAAGCCCCCGGCUCAACCGGGGAGGGUCAUUGGAAACUGGGGAACUUGAGUGCAGAAGAGGAGAGUGGAAUUCCACGUGUAGCGGUGAAAUGCGUAGAGAUGUGGAGGAACACCAGUGGCGAAGGCGACUCUCUGGUCUGUAACUGACGCUGAGGAGCGAAAGCGUGGGGAGCGAACAGGAUUAGAUACCCUGGUAGUCCACGCCGUAAACGAUGAGUGCUAAGUGUUAGGGGGUUUCCGCCCCUUAGUGCUGCAGCUAACGCAUUAAGCACUCCGCCUGGGGAGUACGGUCGCAAGACUGAAACUCAAAGGAAUUGACGGGGGCCCGCACAAGCGGUGGAGCAUGUGGUUUAAUUCGAAGCAACGCGAAGAACCUUACCAGGUCUUGACAUCCUCUGACAAUCCUAGAGAUAGGACGUCCCCUUCGGGGGCAGAGUGACAGGUGGUGCAUGGUUGUCGUCAGCUCGUGUCGUGAGAUGUUGGGUUAAGUCCCGCAACGAGCGCAACCCUUGAUCUUAGUUGCCAGCAUUCAGUUGGGCACUCUAAGGUGACUGCCGGUGACAAACCGGAGGAAGGUGGGGAUGACGUCAAAUCAUCAUGCCCCUUAUGACCUGGGCUACACACGUGCUACAAUGGACAGAACAAAGGGCAGCGAAACCGCGAGGUUAAGCCAAUCCCACAAAUCUGUUCUCAGUUCGGAUCGCAGUUUGCAACUCGACUGCGUGAAGCUGGAAUCGCUAGUAAUCGCGGAUCAGCAUUCCGCGGUGAAUACGUUCCCGGGCCUUGUACACACCGCCCGUCACACCACGAGAGUUUGUAACACCCGAAGUCGANGAGGUAACC
This 1397-nucleotide ribosomal RNA is filed under the name Bacillus inaquosorum. RNAcentral describes it as "bacterial SSU rRNA". It matches the Rfam family "Bacterial small subunit ribosomal RNA". The record is from RNAcentral. Lineage: Bacteria; Bacillati; Bacillota; Bacilli; Caryophanales; Bacillaceae.